This 64-nucleotide transfer RNA is filed under the name Alpheus brevicristatus. RNAcentral describes it as "tRNA-His". The record is from RNAcentral. Lineage: Eukaryota; Metazoa; Arthropoda; Malacostraca; Decapoda; Alpheidae.
AUUAAAGUAGUUUAUGAAAAAUAUCGAUUUGUGGUGUCGGAGAAGUAAGGUCUUACCUUUAAUA